Molecule: ribosomal RNA, 641 nt
Filed under: Inocybe geophylla
Lineage: Eukaryota; Fungi; Basidiomycota; Agaricomycetes; Agaricales; Inocybaceae
Description: eukaryotic LSU rRNA
Rfam family: 5.8S ribosomal RNA (bases 268-421)
Source: RNAcentral
ACCUGCGGAGGAUCAUUAUCGAAUAAACUUGAACAGGCUGUUGCUGGCCCAUUGGGUAUGUGCACGCUUGUCAUCUUUAUCAUUUCUCCAACCUGUGCACAUAAUGUAGACCUGCGUUUUUUGAAUUCUAUUCGAGUUGGGGAUUGCUGCGCUUUUGUAUAAAAGUCGGCUUUCCCUUGUAUUUUUCAGGUCUAUGUCGUUUAUCUUUCACAACCAUGUUUAGAAUGUUGAAUCAGGUCCUUGUACCUAUAUAAUAAAAGUUAAUACAACUUUCAUCAACGGAUCUCUUGGCUCUCGCAUCGAUGAAGAACGCAGCGAAAUGCGAUAAGUAAUGUGAAUUGCAGAAUUCAGUGAAUCAUCGAAUCUUUGAACGCAUCUUGCGCUCCUUGGUAUUCCGAGGAGCAUGCCUGUUUGAGUGUCAUUUGACUUAUCAACCACAUCAUCUUUUUUGAAAAUGUGGCUUGGAUGUGGGGGGGAUGUAUAUUCCUUUGCAGGCUUCAACGAAAGCCGGCUCCCCUGAAAUGCAUUAGUGGUAUCUGAGCUGCUAUUGGUGUGAUAAAUUAUCUAUGCCUUUGGUUAUGCUGGUCAGCGCUGCUUAUAACGACCCAAUCAUUUGACAAAUUUGACCUCAAAUCAGGUAG